UUUCCGUAGGUGAACCUGCGGAAGGAUCAUUAUUGUAUAACCGAGGUGCGAGGGCUGUCGCUGAUCCCAUUGGUCGUGCACGCCCGACUGCCCGCACACACAUCCAUCUCACCCCUACGUGCACCACCGCGUGGGUCCCCCUUUGGCUUGUUCGGAGGGGGGCUUACGUUGUUACACAAACUUUGUAUGCAGUGUAGAAUGUAUUUUUUGUAUUUGCAAUCACGCAAUCAAUACAACUUUCAACAACGGAUCUCUUGGCUCUC
RNAcentral lists this unclassified non-coding RNA (263 nucleotides) under plant metagenome. RNAcentral describes it as "partial contains small subunit ribosomal RNA, internal transcribed spacer 1, and 5.8S ribosomal RNA". The record is from RNAcentral.